GAUGAACGCUGGCGGCGUGCCUAAUACAUGCAAGUCGAACGCACAGCGAAAGGUGCUUGCACCUUUCAAGUGAGUGGCGAACGGGUGAGUAACACGUGGAUAACCUACCUCAAGGUUGGGGAUAACAUUUGGAAACAGAUGCUAAUACCGAAUAAAACUUAGUAUCGCAUGAUACCAGGUUAAAAGGCGCUACGGCGUCACCUAGAGAUGGAUCCGCGGUGCAUUAGUUAGUUGUGGGUAAAGGCGUUACCAAGACAAUGAUGCAUAGCCGAGUUGAGAGACUGAUCGGCCACAUUGGGACUGAGACACGGCCCGAAACUCCUACGGGAGGCUAGCAGUAGGGAAUC
RNAcentral lists this ribosomal RNA (347 nucleotides) under uncultured bacterium. RNAcentral describes it as "bacterial SSU rRNA". It matches the Rfam family "Bacterial small subunit ribosomal RNA", at positions 28 to 363 of the family's 1533-position model. The record is from RNAcentral.